This 476-nucleotide ribosomal RNA is filed under the name uncultured bacterium. RNAcentral's name for it is "bacterial SSU rRNA". It matches the Rfam family "Bacterial small subunit ribosomal RNA", at positions 28 to 488 of the family's 1533-position model. The record is from RNAcentral.
GAUAAACGCUGGCGGCGCACAUAAGACAUGCAAGUCGAACGGAAGUCGUUAUAAAAGGAGAGAAGAUUUAUCGGAUUGAAUUUUAUAACAAUGGCUUUAGUGGCGGACUGGUGAGUAACGCGUAAGGAACCUACCUAUUAGAGGGGAACAACAAUGAGAAAUCAUUGCUAAUACCGCAUAUGCCAUAACUACCGCAUGGUAGAAGUGGGAAAGGAGCAAUCCGCUGAUAGAUGGCCUUGCGUCUGAUUAGUUAGUUGGUGGGGUAACGGCCUACCAAGACGACGAUCAGUAGCCGGACUGAGAGGUUGAACGGCCACAUUGGGACUGAGACACGGCCCAGACUCCUACGGGAGGCAGCAGUGGGGAAUAUUGCACAAUGGGGGAAACCCUGAUGCAGCGACGCCGCGUGGAGGAAGAAGGUCUUCGGAUUGUAAACUCCUGUUGUUGAGGGAGAUAAUGACGGUACCUGAGUAAGA